Molecule: ribosomal RNA, 505 nt
Filed under: uncultured bacterium
Lineage: Bacteria
Description: partial 16S ribosomal RNA
Rfam family: Bacterial small subunit ribosomal RNA
Source: RNAcentral
GACGAACGCUGGCGGCGUGCCUAAUACAUGCAAGUAGAACGCACAGUUUAUACCGUAGCUUGCUACACCAUAGACUGUGAGUUGCGAACGGGUGAGUAACGCGUAGGUAACCUGCCUGGUAGCGGGGGAUAACUAUUGGAAACGAUAGCUAAUACCGCAUAAUAUUAAUUAUUGCAUGAUAAUUAAUUGAAAGGUGCAAUUGCACCACUACCAGAUGGACCUGCGUUGUAUUAGCUAGUAGGUGAGGUAACGGCUCACCUAGGCGACGAUACAUAGCCGACCUGAGAGGGUGAUCGGCCACACUGGGACUGAGACACGGCCCAGACUCCUACGGGAGGCAGCAGUAGGGAAUCUUCGGCAAUGGACGAAAGUCUGACCGAGCAACGCCGUGUGAGUGAAGAAGGUUUUCGGAUCGUAAAGCUCUGUUGUAAGAGAAGAACGGGUGUGAGAGUGGAAAGUUCACACUGUGACGGUAUCUUACCAGAAAGGGACGGCUAACUACGUG